RNAcentral lists this ribosomal RNA (447 nucleotides) under uncultured bacterium. RNAcentral's name for it is "partial 16S ribosomal RNA". It matches the Rfam family "Bacterial small subunit ribosomal RNA", at positions 29 to 523 of the family's 1533-position model. The record is from RNAcentral.
AGCGAACGCUGGCGGCAGGCUUAACACAUGCAAGUCGAACGCCCCGCAAGGGGAGUGGCAGACGGGUGAGUAACACGUGGGAACGUACCCUUUGGUUCGGAAUAACUUGGGGAAACUCAAGCUAAUACCGGAUAAGCCCUUAUGGGGAAAGGUUUACUGCCGAAGGAUCGGCCCGCGUCUGAUUAGCUAGUUGGUGAGGUACUGGCUCACCAAGGCGACGAUCAGUAGCUGGUCUGAGAGGAUGAUCAGCCACACUGGGACUGAGACACGGCCCAGACUCCUACGGGAGGCAGCAGUGGGGAAUAUUGGACAAUGGGGGCAACCCUGAUCCAGCCAUGCCGCGUGAGUGAUGAAGGCCUUAGGGUUGUAAAGCUCUUUUACCCGGGACGAUAAUGACUGUACCGGGAGAAUAAGCCCCGGCUAACUUCGUGCCAGCAGCCGCAGUAA